Molecule: ribosomal RNA, 680 nt
Filed under: uncultured bacterium
Lineage: Bacteria
Description: bacterial SSU rRNA
Rfam family: Bacterial small subunit ribosomal RNA
Source: RNAcentral
GGGCAACUCCGGUUCAGUGGCAGACGGGUGCGUAACACGUGAGGAACCUGUCCGACGGUGGGGGAUAGCCGGCCCAACGGCCGGGUAAUACCGCAUACGUUCAUUUGGGGGCAUCCCUGAAUGAGGAAAGCAGCCGCAAGGUUGCGCCGAUGGAGGGUCUCGCGGCCUAUCAGCUAGUUGGCGGGGUAACGGCCCACCAAGGCGACGACGGGUAGCUGGUCUGAGAGGAUGGCCAGCCACAUUGGGACUGAGACACGGCCCAGACUCCUACGGGAGGCAGCAGUGGGGAAUCUUGCGCAAUGGCCGCAAGGCUGACGCAGCGACGCCGCGUGUGGGAUGACGGCCUUCGGGUUGUAAACCACUGUCGGGAGGAACGAAUACUCGGCUUCGAAUAGGAGCCCGAGGGUGACGGUACCUCCAAAGGAAGCACCGGCUAACUCCGUGCCAGCAGCCGCGGUAAUACGGAGGGUGCGAGCGUUGUCUGGAAUCACUGGGCGUAAAGGGCGCGUAGGUGGCCCGUUAAGUGGUCGGUGAAAUCCCGGGGCUCAACUCCGGGGCUGCCGAUCAGACUGGCGGGCUAGAGCACGGUAGGGGCAGAUGGAAUUCCCGGUGUAGCGGUGGAAUGCGUAGAGAUCGGGAAGAAUACCAGUGGCGAAGGCGUUCUGCUGGGCCGUUGCUGA